GGGUUGUGAGGUUAAGCGACUAAGCGUACACGGUGGAUGCCCUGGCAGUCAGAGGCGAUGAAGGGCGUGCUAAUCUGCGAUAAGCGCCGGUAAGGUGAUAUGAACCGUUAUAACCGGCGAUACCCGAAUGGGGAAACCCAGUGUGACUCGUCACACUAUCAUUAACUGAAUCCAUAGGUUAAUGAGGCGAACCGGGGGAACUGAAACAUCUAAGUACCCCGAGGAAAAGAAAUCAACCGAGAUUCCCCCAGUAGCGGCGAGCGAACGGGGAGGAGCCCAGAGCCUGAAUCAGCAUGUGUGUUAGUGGAAGCGUCUGGAAAGGCGCGCGAUACAGGGUGACAGCCCCGUACACAAAAGCGCAUGUGCUGUGAGCUCGAUGAGUAGGGCGGGACACGUGGUAUCCUGUCUGAAUAUGGGGGGACCAUCCUCCAAGGCUAAAUACUCCUGACUGACCGAUAGUGAACCAGUACCGUGAGGGAAAGGCGAAAAGAACCCCGGCGAGGGGAGUGAAAAAGAACCUGAAACCGUGUACGUACAAGCAGUGGGAGCACCCUUUGGGUGUGACUGCGUACCUUUUGUAUAAUGGGUCAGCGACUUAUAUUCUGUAGCAAGGUUAACCGAAUAGGGGAGCCGGAGGGAAACCGAGUCUUAACCGGGCGUUAAGUUGCAGGGUAUAGACCCGAAACCCGGUGAUCUAGCCAUGGGCAGGUUGAAGGUUGGGUAACACUAACUGGAGGACCGAACCGACUAAUGUUGAAAAAUUAGCGGAUGACCUGUGGCUGGGGGUGAAAGGCCAAUCAAACCGGGAGAUAGCUGGUUCUCCCCGAAAGCUAUUUAGGUAGCGCCUCGUGAAUUCAUCUCCGGGGGUAGAGCACUGUUUCGGCUAGGGGGCCAUCCCGGCUUACCAACCCGAUGCAAACUGCGAAUACCGGAGAAUGUUAUCACGGGAGACACACGGCGGGUGCUAACGUCCGUCGUGAAGAGGGAAACAACCCAGACCGCCAGCUAAGGUCCCAAAGUCAUGGUUAAGUGGGAAACGAUGUGGGAAGGCCCAGACAGCCAGGAUGUUGGCUUAGAAGCAGCCAUCAUUUAAAGAAAGCGUAAUAGCUCACUGGUCGAGUCGGCCUGCGCGGAAGAUGUAACGGGGCUAAACCAUGCACCGAAGCUGCGGCAGCGACACUGUGUGUUGUUGGGUAGGGGAGCGUUCUGUAAGCCUGUGAAGGUGUGUCGUGAGGCAUGCUGGAGGUAUCAGAAGUGCGAAUGCUGACAUAAGUAACGAUAAAGCGGGUGAAAAGCCCGCUCGCCGGAAGACCAAGGGUUCCUGUCCAACGUUAAUCGGGGCAGGGUGAGUCGACCCCUAAGGCGAGGCCGAAAGGCGUAGUCGAUGGGAAACGGGUUAAUAUUCCCGUACUUGGUGUUACUGCGAAGGGGGGACGGAGAAGGCUAUGUUGGCCGGGCGACGGUUGUCCCGGUUUAAGCGUGUAGGUGUGUGUUCCAGGUAAAUCCGGUUCACUUUAACACUGAGGCGUGACGACGAGGCACUACGGUGCUGAAGCAACAAAUGCCCUGCUUCCAGGAAAAGCCUCUAAGCAUCAGGUAACAUCAAAUCGUACCCCAAACCGACACAGGUGGUCAGGUAGAGAAUACCAAGGCGCUUGAGAGAACUCGGGUGAAGGAACUAGGCAAAAUGGUGCCGUAACUUCGGGAGAAGGCACGCUGACACGUAGGUGAAGUGAUUUACUCAUGGAGCUGAAGUCAGUCGAAGAUACCAGCUGGCUGCAACUGUUUAUUAAAAACACAGCACUGUGCAAACACGAAAGUGGACGUAUACGGUGUGACGCCUGCCCGGUGCCGGAAGGUUAAUUGAUGGGGUCAGCGCAAGCGAAGCUCCUGAUCGAAGCCCCGGUAAACGGCGGCCGUAACUAUAACGGUCCUAAGGUAGCGAAAUUCCUUGUCGGGUAAGUUCCGACCUGCACGAAUGGCGUAAUGAUGGCCAGGCUGUCUCCACCCGAGACUCAGUGAAAUUGAACUCGCUGUGAAGAUGCAGUGUACCCGCGGCAAGACGGAAAGACCCCGUGAACCUUUACUAUAGCUUGACACUGAACAUUGAGCCUUGAUGUGUAGGAUAGGUGGGAGGCUUUGAAGUGUGGACGCCAGUCUGCAUGGAGCCGACCUUGAAAUACCACCCUUUAAUGUUUGAUGUUCUAACGUGGACCCGUUACCCGGGUUGCGGACAGUGUCUGGUGGGUAGUUUGACUGGGGCGGUCUCCUCCUAAAGAGUAACGGAGGAGCACGAAGGUUGGCUAAUCCUGGUCGGACAUCAGGAGGUUAGUGCAAUGGCAUAAGCCAGCUUGACUGCGAGCGUGACGGCGCGAGCAGGUGCGAAAGCAGGUCAUAGUGAUCCGGUGGUUCUGAAUGGAAGGGCCAUCGCUCAACGGAUAAAAGGUACUCCGGGGAUAACAGGCUGAUACCGCCCAAGAGUUCAUAUCGACGGCGGUGUUUGGCACCUCGAUGUCGGCUCAUCACAUCCUGGGGCUGAAGUAGGUCCCAAGGGUAUGGCUGUUCGCCAUUUAAAGUGGUACGCGAGCUGGGUUUAGAACGUCGUGAGACAGUUCGGUCCCUAUCUGCCGUGGGCGCUGGAGAACUGAGGGGGGCUGCUCCUAGUACGAGAGGACCGGAGUGGACGCAUCACUGGUGUUCGGGUUGUCAUGCCAAUGGCACUGCCCGGUAGCUAAAUGCGGAAGAGAUAAGUGCUGAAAGCAUCUAAGCACGAAACUUGCCCCGAGAUGAGUUCUCCCUGAGACUUAGAGUCUCCUGAA
Molecule: ribosomal RNA, 2819 nt
Filed under: Salmonella enterica subsp. enterica serovar Enteritidis
Lineage: Bacteria; Pseudomonadati; Pseudomonadota; Gammaproteobacteria; Enterobacterales; Enterobacteriaceae
Description: partial 23S ribosomal RNA
Rfam family: Bacterial large subunit ribosomal RNA
Source: RNAcentral